GCAUCAAUGGCAGAAGGGUUAAUGCAGCGAGCUCAUAACUCGUCGUUCGUAGAACAUGUCCCGGUUCAAAUCCGGGUUGGUGCA
Molecule: transfer RNA, 84 nt
Filed under: Micromonas pusilla CCMP1545
Lineage: Eukaryota; Viridiplantae; Chlorophyta; Mamiellophyceae; Mamiellales; Mamiellaceae
Rfam family: tRNA
About the family: Transfer RNA (tRNA) molecules are approximately 80 nucleotides in length. Their secondary structure includes four short double-helical elements and three loops (D, anti-codon, and T loops).
Source: Rfam by way of RNAcentral